AAGUCGUAACAAGGUUUCCGUAGGUGAACCUGCGGAAGGAUCAUUAUCGAGUUUUUGAAAAGAAGGUUGUAGCUGGCCUUUUCGGGGCAUGUGCACGCCUUUGACUCUUGACACCUGUGCACUCUUUGUAGGGUUGGUAAAUCAUCUUGAUAUACCGUCCUAUGUGUUUAUUACAAACUAUUGUUGGAUUUGAAUGUGACUUGCGCUUUAAUAACGCAUUAAAUAUAACUUUCAGCAACGGAUCUCUUGGCUCUC
Molecule: unclassified non-coding RNA, 255 nt
Filed under: air metagenome
Description: partial contains small subunit ribosomal RNA, internal transcribed spacer 1, and 5.8S ribosomal RNA
Rfam family: Eukaryotic small subunit ribosomal RNA (bases 1-46)
Source: RNAcentral